UGUUGAAUGUAGGGUCAGCUAGAUGUAG
RNAcentral lists this small RNA (28 nucleotides) under Bombyx mori (domestic silkworm). RNAcentral's name for it is "ovarian small RNA-9205". Lineage: Eukaryota; Metazoa; Arthropoda; Insecta; Lepidoptera; Bombycidae. The record is from RNAcentral.